Molecule: long non-coding RNA, 378 nt
Filed under: Bos taurus (domestic cattle)
Lineage: Eukaryota; Metazoa; Chordata; Mammalia; Artiodactyla; Bovidae
Description: long non-coding RNA NONBTAT006556
Source: RNAcentral
UGAUGAAACUUACAAAAGGUCAUUUAUGUAACUACUGUCACUUUUUUUCCUACACCAUAAUAAGUAUCGAUAAUUUAAAAAUAAAGAAGAAAGAUGUGGAUAGAAGAGAGGAAACGGUUAUUUUUAAAGGUAAAUGGAGAUAGGUAUGGGGUCCCAGUAAAAGGCAAAAUUAUCAUACAUGUAAAGGAUACUCAUUCUAAACCAUUUAUGUACACAAUUUAAUGUAAUUAAUGCAUAUAAUUAACUGCCAAUGUAAUAAGGAUUUGUAUAUCAGGCUUAUAGUAUAUAAGUUCAAACAGGAAAACUAGAUUCUUUUGCAGGAGGUAAGAUGGAAGCUGCUGGUGCCCUCUCUUAGUAACUUAGGCAAUGGAGAAAGUC